GGGCAGGAAGAGGGAAAGUGUCACCGUGCCUUGGCACAAGCUCUGGACCCCUGCUUCUCCUUCCACAGUUAGUUUCAAGAGGGAUAGAAAGUGACUUGCUCCGGGUUGCCUUUCUUUUGCGAGUCUCAUCACAGUCUUUCCAGAAACACUGGCAAGUGACUGCACACAGCCUUGGAAGCCACGGUUUGUCCCUGUCGCUCUGACCAGCCAGUAAGCGCUGGGAGCGCCACCAAGGUACAGAGGUGUCCGGAAGUAGAGCAACAAGCCGUCCUCCGCCUCUGCCUGCGAACACACAAGCGAAAACCACAUAAACCAUGGCCACUUCUUCUUCCUCGUCUACAAACCCCCAUGAAGAUGAAACAUGAGUGCCCCCCUCGGCCACCC
Molecule: long non-coding RNA, 384 nt
Organism: Meriones unguiculatus (Mongolian gerbil)
Lineage: Eukaryota; Metazoa; Chordata; Mammalia; Rodentia; Muridae
Exons: 4
Source: RefSeq, a predicted model, not a curated record